This 576-nucleotide ribosomal RNA is filed under the name uncultured bacterium. Its description in RNAcentral is "bacterial SSU rRNA". It matches the Rfam family "Bacterial small subunit ribosomal RNA", at positions 102 to 674 of the family's 1533-position model. The record is from RNAcentral.
ACGGGUGAGUAAUACAUCGGAACGUAUCCUGGAGUGGGGGAUAGCCCGGCGAAAGCCGGAUUAAUACCGCAUACGCUCUGAGGAGGAAAGCGGGGGACCUUCGGGCCUCGCGCUCAAGGGGCGGCCGAUGGCGGAUUAGGUAGUUGGUGGGGUAAAGGCCUACCAAGCCGACGAUCCGUAGCUGGUCUGAGAGGACGACCAGCCACACUGGGACUGAGACACGGCCCAGACUCCUACGGGAGGCAGCAGUGGGGAAUUCUGGACAAUGGGGGCAACCCUGAUCCAGCAAUGCCGCGUGUGUGAAGAAGGCCUUCGGGUUGUAAAGCACUUUUGUCCGGAAAGAAAUCAUCGGGGCCAAUACCCCUGGUGGAUGACGGUACCGGAAGAAUAAGCACCGGCUAACUACGUGCCAGCAGCCGCGGUAAUACGUAGGGUGCGAGCGUUAAUCGGAAUUACUGGGCGUAAAGCGUGCGCAGGCGGUGCUGUAAGACCGAUGUGAAAUCCCCGGGCUUAACCUGGGAACUGCAUUGGUGACUGCAGCGCUGGAGUAUGGCAGAGGGGGGUGGAAUUCCACGU